AAUGCAGGUUCUUGGGGGAUCAUGGAGCCCAAAGCCUCACUAACCACGUGACCUGUUCCUUUCUAGGGAAAGAAGUCUUUGAAGGGGUGAGAGGAAGGCGGGGCAGGGGGACUGCCGAGGAGACAUGUCAGAAUUGGAAAGGCCUUCCAGGUCAUCACUAAUCCUGAAAGUUCAUCUUUACUGUCCCAUCUCCUCUGGCUUGUACCAUAGUGCUGGGAGCAUGAGAGCAGCAGCAGCAUCGCCGGCUGUAGCUGGGGACUGACCGGGGCAGGAAGAAGCUCCCGAGGAUGGAAGGCAAAUGACAACAGAAAGGAGAUAGAGGAGAGAGGGAGGGGGAGCUGUGGGAGGGGGGCUGGGGAUGGAGGCCUGCCUGCUCUAACCUUGCCCCGCCAUGGAGCUCCGCAGAAAACAUGAAAAGUUCCAAGUCAGUGUCUCAGAGGCUGAGCCCCCUUGGAAGGGACCACCACUGGAGAAUCAGAGAAAGGCAGCGGAGAGCUAAGAAACCAAGUGCUCAACAAGGUGGGAAGACCUCGAUUGCCUUUAGAGAAAACUCUUCCCAACACGACAGCUUGGGGUACUAGCCUGGGGGAUGGGGACAUCUGGCCUCAGUCUCUCUGAGCCUCGGCUUCCUCACUUGUAAAACUGAGAUAUCAACACGCAAGCCCCUUCCAGGCCGCGGAUGGCGAUAAAGGCAGGGCAGGGACAGGAAAAGCCCUCCCUGGGGCUCCGUGAGCUCUGCUGGUGAUAAACCUGAUCUGCUCAUCUCCCGGAAGAACCAGCUGGGCAGUAAGACCUGUCGUUUCAAAAAAACAGAAAGCCCGACCCGACCAAAUUGGCCCAGGAAGAAGACAGUGAGUGGGAGCAACCUCUGGACGCAGGGAGGGACUCGAGCCCAUCGUCUUGGCGAUGAACAAUGACUGGGUGGGAGUUUGUUUUCAAUGAUGACAGAAAAAAAAAAAGAAAAGAAAAAGAAAAAAGAAGAGAAAACAAGGGAGGAGCAGGAGCUCAGGAAAUGGGUUGUGGGACACAGGGCCCAGACUGGUGUGAGGGAUGUGGAAAUCAGGGGAAAAAUAAAGCAACGAUGGGAAACUCUCUGGGCCAUCCCCAAAACAACAGGACACCAAGGCCAGCGUCCCCGAGGCUGCCAUUGGCAGAGCAAAGUCCUGGCCCAGCCUAAUGUCCUCUGGCUCCAAAUUACAUGGCAAUGACUCUAAGAACAAACAUGUGAGAGGGCCCCUCCCAGGGCAUCGGGUGCCAUGGAUGACUCAGCACGUGGCACAUCGUUUGGCAUCUAUAAAAGUCCCAGCAUGACUGCAGAAAAGGUACGUUCCGCAUCCAUUAGAGAGAAGCACAAAUGUGUCCGGACUCAAGUGCCAAAACAUUCUUAUUGAGCCCCCGCAACCAACAUCACCGGAUCUUCCUGCCCUAAUUUAGGAGCAUCCACUCCAAGAGAGGUAUGCCCACGGGACUCGCCUGCUGGAGGAAAGUCCAAUAGGCAGCAGUCCAAAUCCUCUUUGAAUUACAAGAGAAUUUUCUAUUUUACCAAAAGUUUGAUUGAAGGAUUCCUUCAAUAGAUAACCACCUUAACACAUUUUUAACAAUUCUAUUCCUAAAAAGGCAUUCAAACCCUCGAUGGGGACACAGAGCAGGGGGCUUCUGCACCGGCUGGGUCUGUAAUGGAGACUUUUUGCCAGCAAUACCACACAGAUGGCUUUUGGGUAAUGUGACGUAUGAACUGUUUGUUCAGAGAAUGAGGAGAAAGUGGAAGGAACAACUGUCAUUAUGCAGUGAAGCUCCUCCUGAGUCGUGGCGAUAGGGGCCUUGUGGCCCUCAAAGGCGUGAGAAGCCAUAUGGAAUCGCGACCCGGGAUCCCGGUCAGAUGGAUCUCUGACACCUACCAGCUACAUAACUCCGGCACAGCCAGUUCGUUGUGUGAGACCCUCUCUUCCUUCCCAUACAAAUUCUAGCGAGCUCCCUAUACUAGGUGCUACAUGGCACAGGGCGCUGGAGCUGAAAUCAAGAAUACUCAUUUUCCUCAGUUCAAAUCUGACCUCGGACACUUAGUAGCUGUGUGACCUUGAGCAAGUUAUUUAACUAUUUGCCUCAGUUUCCUCAUCUGUCAAAAGAGCUGGAGAAAGAAAUGGCCAACCGCUCCAGUAUCUCUUGCCCAGAAAACUUCAAAUGGGGUCAGCAUGAUUGAAGUGACCGAACAACAGCAACCCUACAGUGAUUAAAGCACAGGUUCAUUUUUUUAGAAAUUUUUAGGAAAAAGGAAAGGAAUAUGAUGACCAAGGCAGAGGGAACCUUAGCUAGCUCUAGAGAAGAGCUGAGGGCGGGCAAAGAGAUCCGCGUGACCAGACUUUCACUGUGCCACUUGAAAGUAGGACUCUUGUUUCUGGGAGGAGACCAAAGGUGAUAGAGAGCCCCCAAAAGAUGAAGCAAAAGCAGCACAUUUAGAACCCAUUAUACUCUGGCUCCACCUGAAUUUUCCAGGCUGACUGUCAACUCCUUCUCCCUGCAGCCACUAUCCCCCAAGAAUGCUCUAUACUUCCCAUCUCCAUACUUUGGCACAGGCUGUCCCCUCCUCACCCCCACCUGCUUCAAAGCUCAAGUGCCAUCUUCUCUGGGAAAUCUUCCUGCUCUCCUUUAGUUAUCACUAUUCUCUCUUUCCUCAAAUGACUGCAGAUACCCAACUCUCCACGCCUCACAUCGGCCCCUCCAUUUCGUCUUUGUAGCCCCAAUCCCUUGCUUAAGGAAGGCUUGCUCGAUGGGAGAGGAAGGCUUUUCCAGUAACGGUCAGAAUCCUGGAACGUGACCAGCUCACCCCAGGUCCCCUUUGCCAUCACCCAGUAAAUCAAUCCCAACCUCCAGGUUCCCUGUCCCAGGAAGGCUCCCGGGCCACUGCAGUCAGCUGCAGAGCUGUCUCAAGAAAAAGCUCGGCAAGAGAGAUGUGAAGAGGGAGCAAAGGCCCCCAGGGGCCGCAGCAUCUGCUCUGUGACUGCUAACCCAUCACUGCAACAUAAAAACUUUGGUUCCUUUUUUAUUAUCAGCUUAAACAUGCACAAGCACAAAUAGUUCAAUCUACAGGACAAAAAAAAAAAAAAAAAAGAGGAUGUUUAUGAGGCUGAACUUCUGGCAGGUGGCCUUUCAAGGUGACUGAAUCUCACCCCUGCUCCAGGGUGGCCCGUCCUGAACUUCUGCCAGCUCUCUGUGUCCUUCCCUCUCCUUCCUCUUUAAGGUCCCCCACUUCUGCCCAACAAAAAAGACCUCAUUGUCCCUCUGAGCAGAAGAGAGUCCUUCAUGGAGGCUCUUACUGGAAAAUGAGGAAAGCGUCCCAGUCGUCCACCUCACAAGGCUUUGCGGGGAACAGCCGCCCAAACCUCUCCCUGAGACUCGGGCUACCCGGUGCUCACUGUCCUGUGUGGGUCCUUGGUGUGACCAGCUCUGCAGAGCACUUCUCACGUUCUUCUCUCCCUAGCAGCUCGUCUGACUUUGGGAAGGGCAGGACAAUGAGAGGAAGCUUGGAGGCCAGCGCCUGUCCUGGCCGGAUGUCCCUGGGGUACUGCGCUUCCAGGCCAAGAGAGCUCACGCAACCCAUAAAGGGGAAGUUGGGUUUCUACAUUAUUCCUCAUUUUGAAAUCUCUCUUCCAGAACACUGAGCUAGACCGAGGUCCUCUACAUUCACUGACGCGGCUCACUGGGAGGAGGAGAGUCCCAUAACAGAAUGGGCGGCCCCCGGGAGGUGAGGCUCCCCGGCCCUGGAGGUCUGCCAGCAGAGCCUGGCCGGGUCACUGUAGGGUCAGUGUUAUUAGGGUAAGGGGGCCCCGCCGAGCCCUUCCUGAGACUCAGGGAUUCCACUGAAAAGAGAGAGGAAGAAGCUUUCCUGCACAGGCUUGCCUCCACAAGGUCCCAGCGGCACACGGCAGCAGGGCCAGGAGAUCCCGGCUCUUCCUGCGUAUUCCCUGCUUCCUAGCGCCACGUGGCAGAGCACACACCAGCUCCCCUUUGGCAAGGAGGGGGUCCCCACCUUCACAGGUCAUUUCCCCUUGAAACAGAAGAGCCCCCGUAGAAGCGGAGCAGGCAGCCAUGCUCGGCCUUGAGGCUGACCCUGGGGAGCACGUCCUCCAAGCAGAAGCUGCCAGAGAUGCCCUGCUGAGACCCAUCAAAACCUCUCCAGCUCCCUUUACUGACUUUAAGGCGUACACGCUGACUGUUCUGGCUCAUGAAUCCCUCUCUGAGCAAAUGUGAACUCAGACCCCCCGAAGGCAAUGGGGAAUCGGCGGCGCUCCAACCACGGCACAGCUGCCGCCGCCACAAUUGAGAUGGGGCUGCUGCCCGCCUUCAGAAGGGGAAAUAGCAUUUCGAGGCAGGGGGGCCCAUGGCAACAGACAGGCUCCCACCAUGAGACACUGAAGGCCAGGGAACUAGAGAGGCUCCGAGGCUCAGUUAUGAGGCUCGGGCCCAGCGGGCCUGGAGCUCGCUCAUUUUAAUUGGCGCCGCAGCAAGCCUGACGACCCCGUGUACUCCACCCUGGCAGGGCCCUAAAAAGCCACGGGAGCGGCGACAACGAUGGAGCCCACUGGCCACGCUCGUCGGGAGGCAGCGGAAAUCUGAUUGUGGCUGGUCUCCAGCUGCUGGUGCAGCUUCUCGCUCCUGCCGUGGCCGCAGCCACCUGCCGGGGCCAAAGAUGACACGCCCCCACGUCCAGGGCCCUGCUCAUGCCAGGGUCCCACACAGGCUCUGGGCCGCUAUCUCCGGCCCAGCCAAUGCACCAAGGGGACCGGCCCCUCCGGUACACACUGGCAGGGCAACAUCUCAGCUCUCUGUCCUGGCUGUUCUGAGCCCUGCCCGGCUGAGGGUGCGGUGGGAGGUGGGGGGCUUCCUGCUCCUGGAAAUGCCUCAUGUGGCUGCUCCACUGACACUAGUUACAUGAGUCUGAAAAUGGACAGACUUCAGUUUUCUUAUCUAAAAAGGGGAUACCACUGGCACUAACUUAUCCAAAAGAGUGUGGAGAGGAAAGUAUUUCCGAAAGCCUUCAAGCAAUACAGAAGGGAUUAACUGAGGAAAGGUGAGUGGUCCAUCUUGCCCUCCGUCUCAGGUUCUAUUUGCGGGCAGAUGGAGAAGGAGCCUCAAGGGUCCUUGUGUCCCCAUUCCUCUUCUGAUCCUGGAAGGCGCCUCCACAACUUCACGGGCUCUUGUGGGGUGGAGGGAAAAACCAUUUCCUAGCCCCCUCCCAAGUGCAGCAGCAUGAGAUCAGACAGGCUCGGAAGGGUCACAGUGAGAGGGAGCCUGAAGACCCAAGUGGCCCAUGAUCUCUGCUCAAGAUUGGGCGAGAUUCCCAGAGACUUCUCCGACCUUAUGGAUAAUGCCAAAUUCUGCAAUGGAAGCCAUGCACUCAGGACCCUGGAAAGAACCCAUGGGGACUUCUUUGCCUCGCCAGGAGUUGGCCAGGAGGCCACCUCCUCCGGCAGUCACUAUUUAUGGCGGGUGUUCCCAGUUGGAAAAAAGGGACAAAACCCCAACCCAACAAUUUGAAAACAAAACAACAAUGUGGCCUGUGACUUAAUUUUUUUUUCUCCAACUGAGGCUCUCAGUGAUUACCUCUGAUCCUGAAUACAUCUUACAUGGAUGUGUCACAGAAACACCUUCCCAUCCAUUCUGAUAUUGGCUUCAGGCUUUUCCCUAAGUCCCUGUAGGUGGGCGUCUUGGUAAACAUUUUAGUUUUCUUGAGAGCAGUGCCACAUGUAAUUAGUCACUUAAUAAAUGGUCUUUGAAAACCGCAAUGCUGACAAGAUAAAAUAUCAGGGCAAGAUCAGCCAUGUGACUGUGGGCAGGGGGUUUCACCCCUAAGCCUCAGUUCCCUUACCAGUAAAAUGGGGACACUCCUUCUUGGGCUGUGUCUUUAAGGACUGCCGUGAACAAGGGGCUUUGCCUACCUUACAGUAUUAGGGAAAUAUGAGUUCUCAUGAUCCCUUCUGUUUUCCUGAGGAUGAAAUAAAAAAAGAUAGCGGUGUCCUUUGCAAGGACAGACUGUAUGCCAUUGGCUGACCCCAAAGGCCUCCUGUUUGUCGUUGGCUCCAAAGUGCCAUUCACGGUGUGACAAGGGCCAUGCAGGAUGCUGAGCGCUCCCUGGAGCCUUUGCUAGCCUACCUAUCUAAUGGGCACUCCAUUACCUGUCCUCAAGGGCAGCCCAGUUUCCUGAGCUUUAUUAAACCUCAGCUUAGUCCUGCAUUGUCUACCAAUGUGCCACUUUCUGGCUCUGCAUAAAUCAUUAGCAUUUUCCACAAUCAGUCUUUUAGCCAGGGACAUUAGGGUCUGGGAAGAACUCCUUCCCUGUUCUUUUUCCAAUUAGAUCAAAGGUUCCUAACUUGGGGGGCCACAGACAAUCUACUCAUGAAUCCAAGGAUAGAUUUCAGGGAAUCAGUGAAAUGGGAUAGGGAAAAAAAAAGUACAUCUGUAUUUUCAUUAGUCUCUAAUUGACUUUUUUCUUUUUUCUUUUAAUUUCUUUAAUUUCUUAAAAAGUUAAUCUGAUAGGAGGUCCUAAAUCUUCCAAAGGGGAUCAUGACAUGUUGACGUACAAAAAGCGUCUGACCUCCAUAUCAGACCGCGCCAGACAGUGGAGCCUGCAUCUUCCUCUGGGUACAGAGAACAGAGUCUCUGAGAUAUAGCCAGUUGGCAACCUCCCUUGUUGACAGGUCAUGGGUAAGACAGUCAUACCUCCAGAUACACAGCAGCUCAGACACAUAGCAGGAGUAAGGUUGCUACUGCCUGCCUACAAGUGUUCAAAUUUGAUCUAGGCUGGCUCCCCUUAUGUUCUAUUGAGAAUCACUACUGAUCUUUCCAUACAAUUCCAAAAUACUCUGAAAGUUGACAGAUGCAAUCGACUAGAUCAAGGUAGAAAGCACCGAAUGUUCCAGGUUUAGGGGAGAAAAACAAGAGAGAAGAGGGAGGGAGGUAGUAAUACAGCAAUAUGAGACUUCAAGUCUAGAUUCUAACAUAGAUAUGUGUGUGUGUGUGUAUGUGUGUGUGU
Molecule: long non-coding RNA, 7030 nt
Organism: Antechinus flavipes (yellow-footed antechinus)
Lineage: Eukaryota; Metazoa; Chordata; Mammalia; Dasyuromorphia; Dasyuridae
Exons: 2
Source: RefSeq, a predicted model, not a curated record